Molecule: transfer RNA, 88 nt
Filed under: Planctomycetota bacterium
Lineage: Bacteria; Pseudomonadati; Planctomycetota
Description: Planctomycetes bacterium tRNA-Ser
Rfam family: tRNA
About the family: Transfer RNA (tRNA) molecules are approximately 80 nucleotides in length. Their secondary structure includes four short double-helical elements and three loops (D, anti-codon, and T loops). Further hydrogen bonds mediate the characteristic L-shaped molecular structure. tRNAs have two regions of fundamental functional importance: the anti-codon, which is responsible for specific mRNA codon recognition, and the 3' end, to which the tRNAs corresponding amino acid is attached (by aminoacyl-tRNA synthetases). tRNAs cope with the degeneracy of the genetic code in two manners: having more than one tRNA (with a specific anti-codon) for a particular amino acid; and 'wobble' base-pairing, i.e. permitting non-standard base-pairing at the 3rd anti-codon position.
Source: RNAcentral
GGAGGCGUGGCAGAGCGGCCGAAUGCAGCGGUUUUGAAAACCGCCGUGCUGCAAGGCACCAGGGGUUCGAAUCCUCUCGCCUCCGCCA